GGCCUCGUGGCCUAGAAGUAAGGCGUUGGUUUCCGGUGGAGGAGACUCCAGGUUCGCCAAAGAUCGCGAGUGCAAAUCUCGCCGUGGUCG
This 90-nucleotide transfer RNA is filed under the name Schizosaccharomyces pombe (fission yeast). It matches the Rfam family "tRNA". From Rfam's summary of the family: Transfer RNA (tRNA) molecules are approximately 80 nucleotides in length. Lineage: Eukaryota; Fungi; Ascomycota; Schizosaccharomycetes; Schizosaccharomycetales; Schizosaccharomycetaceae. The record is from Rfam by way of RNAcentral.